UGAGACACCAAAACAUUGCCAUAGUGAU
RNAcentral lists this non-coding RNA (28 nucleotides) under Mus musculus (house mouse). The record is from RNAcentral. Lineage: Eukaryota; Metazoa; Chordata; Mammalia; Rodentia; Muridae.